This 634-nucleotide ribosomal RNA is filed under the name uncultured cyanobacterium. RNAcentral describes it as "bacterial SSU rRNA". It matches the Rfam family "Bacterial small subunit ribosomal RNA", at positions 99 to 767 of the family's 1533-position model. Lineage: Bacteria; Bacillati; Cyanobacteriota. The record is from RNAcentral.
CGGACGGGUGAGUAACGCGUGAGAAUCUAACUUCAGGACGGGGACAACAGUUGGAAACGACUGCUAAUACCCGAUGUGCCGCAAGGUGAAACCUAAUUGGCCUGAAGAAGAGCUUGCGUCUGAUUAGCUAGUUGGUGGGGUAAAGGCCUACCAAGGCAACGAUCAGUAGCUGGUCUGAGAGGAUGAGCAGCCACACUGGGACUGAGACACGGCCCAGACUCCUACGGGAGGCAGCAGUGGGGAAUUUUCCGCAAUGGGCGAAAGCCUGACGGAGCAACGCCGCGUGAGGGAGGAAGGUCUUUGGAUUGUAAACCUCUUUUCUCAAGGAAGAAGUUCUGACGGUACUUGAGGAAUCAGCCUCGGCUAACUCCGUGCCAGCAGCCGCGGUAAUACGGGGGAGGCAAGCGUUAUCCGGAAUUAUUGGGCGUAAAGCGUCCGCAGGUGGUCAGCCAAGUCUGCCGUCAAGUCAGGUUGCUUAACGACCUAAAGGCGGUGGAAACUGGCAGACUAGAGAUCAGUAGGGGUAGCAGGAAUUCCCAGUGUAGCGGUGAAAUGCGUAGAGAUUGGGAAGAACAUCGGUGGCGAAAGCGUGCUACUGGGCUGUAUCUGACACUCAGGGACGAAAGCUAGGGGA